GACGAACGCUGGCGGCGUGCUUAACACAUGCAAGUCGAACGGAAAGGCCCUGCUUUUGUGGGGUGCUCGGGUGGCGAACGGGUGAGUAACACGUGAGUAACCUGCCCUUGACUUUGGGAUAACUUCAGGAAACUGGGGCUAAUACCGGAUAGGAGCUCCUGCUGCAUGGUGGGGGUUGGAAAGUUUCGGCGGUUGGGGAUGGACUCGCGGCUUAUCAGCUUGUUGGUGGGGUAGUGGCUUACCAAGGCUUUGACGGGUAGCCGGCCUGAGAGGGUGACCGGCGAGGUUGGGAGGGGGGGGCGGCCCGGACUGCGGCGGGAGGCAGGGGGGGGGAAGAGUGGGCGGGGGGGGGGGGCCGGAUGCAGCGACGCGGCGUGCGGGAUGGCGGGCUUCGGGUUGUAAGCGGCUUUCGGCUGUGAGGAAGCGUGAGUGACGGGAAUGGGUAAAGAAGCACCGGCUAACUACGUG
Molecule: ribosomal RNA, 468 nt
Filed under: uncultured bacterium
Lineage: Bacteria
Description: partial 16S ribosomal RNA
Rfam family: Bacterial small subunit ribosomal RNA
Source: RNAcentral